GACGAACGCUGGCGGCGUGCUUAACACAUGCAAGUCGAACGGAAAGGCCUCUUUCGGGGGGUACUCGAGUGGCGAACGGGUGAGUAACACGUGAGUAACCUGCCCUUGACUUUGGGAUAGCUUCAGGAAACUGGGGCUAAUACCGGAUAGGAGCUCCUGCUGCAUGGUGGGGGUUGGAAAGUUUCGGCGGUUGGGGAUGGACUCGCGGCUUAUCAGCUUGUUGGUGGGGUAGUGGCUUACCAAGGCUUUGACGGGUAGCCGGCCUGAGAGGGUGACCGGCCACAUUGGGACUGAGAUACGGCCCAGACUCCUACGGGAGGCAGCAGUGGGGAAUAUUGCACAAUGGGUGGAAGCCUGAUGCAGCAACGCCGUGUGCGGGAUGACGGCCUUCGGGUUGUAAACCGCUUUCGCUCAUGACGAAGCUUUGUGUGACGGUAGUGGGUAAAGAAGCACCGGCUAACUACGUG
RNAcentral lists this ribosomal RNA (467 nucleotides) under uncultured bacterium. RNAcentral describes it as "partial 16S ribosomal RNA". It matches the Rfam family "Bacterial small subunit ribosomal RNA", at positions 28 to 507 of the family's 1533-position model. The record is from RNAcentral.